This is a non-coding RNA of Schistosoma mattheei, 45 nucleotides long. The record is from Rfam. NCBI's taxonomy places the organism in Eukaryota, Metazoa, Platyhelminthes, Trematoda, Strigeidida, Schistosomatidae.
AUUCAGCUGUUGAGUUCCAAAUAGGAAAAAACGCGCGUCCUGGAU